UCCUGGUUUCCCAGGCAGUCCCAUCAGAGUGCCUCCUCACGGAGUAGCAACUGAUGGCAAGGGUUGCGCUCGUUAUAGGACUUAACCCAACAUCUCACGACACGAGCUGACGACAGCCAUGCAACACCUGUGAAUCUGUCCAUGGUUUCCCAUGGAAAACUCUAUUUCUAGAGCGAUCAGAAACAUGUCAAGCCUAGGUAAGGUUCCUCGCGUAGUGUCGAAUUAAACCACAUGUUCCACCGCUUGUGCGGACCCCCGUCAAUUCCUUUGAGUUUUAAUCUUGCGACCGUAAUCCCCAGGCGGAUCAUUUAACGCGUUAGCUACGACACUGAUUCUGCUAAGCAAAACCAACGUCUAAUGAUCAUCGUUUACGGCGUGGACUAC
RNAcentral lists this unclassified non-coding RNA (384 nucleotides) under uncultured bacterium. RNAcentral describes it as "contains 16S-23S intergenic spacer region". The record is from RNAcentral.